CCUACGGGUGGCAGCAGUGAGGAAUAUUGGUCAAUGGGCGUAAGCCUGAACCAGCCAAGUCGCGUGAGGGAUGACGGUUCUACGGAUUGUAAACCUCUUUUAUACGGGAAUAAAGCGUGGGACGUGUCCUGUUUUGUAUGUACCUUAUGAAUAAGGAUCGGCUAACUCUGUGCCAGCAGCCGCGGUAAUACGGAGGAUCCGAGCGUUAUCCGGAUUUAUUGGGUUUAAAGGGUGCGUAGGCGGCCUGUUAAGUCAGCGGUGAAAGUUUGGGGCUCAACCCGAGAAUUGCAGUUGAAACUGGCGGGCUUGAGUAUGUUUGAGGCAGGCGGAAUGCGUGGUGUAGCGGUGAAAUGCUUAGAUAUGACGAAGAACCCCGAUUGCGAAGGCAGCCUGCCAAGCCGUGACUGACGCUGAUGCACGAAAGCGUGGGGAUCAAACAGGAUUAGAUACCCCAGUAGUC
This 460-nucleotide ribosomal RNA is filed under the name uncultured bacterium. RNAcentral describes it as "partial 16S ribosomal RNA". It matches the Rfam family "Bacterial small subunit ribosomal RNA", at positions 338 to 795 of the family's 1533-position model. The record is from RNAcentral.